Molecule: ribosomal RNA, 252 nt
Filed under: uncultured prokaryote
Description: partial 16S rRNA
Rfam family: Archaeal small subunit ribosomal RNA
Source: RNAcentral
ACCGGAGGCUCGAGUGGUGGCCACUAUUACUGGGCUUAAAGCGUUCGUAGCUGGCUUGUUAAGUCUGUGGGGUACUCUUCAGGCUCAACUGGAGGGCGUCUUUGGGAUACUGGCAGGCUUGGGACCAGAAGAGAUGGCUGGUAUUCCAGGUGUACUUGAGAAAUCCGGUGCUUUGUGGGGGACCUCCUGUGGCGAAGGCGUUUUCCCAGAACAGCUUUUUUUGUGAGGAACGAAAGCUGGGGGAGCAAACCU